RNAcentral lists this ribosomal RNA (471 nucleotides) under uncultured bacterium. RNAcentral's name for it is "bacterial SSU rRNA". It matches the Rfam family "Bacterial small subunit ribosomal RNA", at positions 1 to 451 of the family's 1533-position model. The record is from RNAcentral.
CCCUUAGAGUUUGAUCCUGGCUCAGGACGAACGCUGGCGGCGUGCUUAACACAUGCAAGUCGAACGAAGAGCGAUGGAAGCUUGCUUCUAUCAAUCUUAGUGGCGAACGGGUGAGUAACGCGUAAUCAACCUGCCCUUCAGAGGGGGACAACAGUUGGAAACGACUGCUAAUACCGCAUACGAUCUAAUCUCGGCAUCGAGGAUAGAUGAAAGGUGGCCUCUACAUGUAAGCUAUCACUGAAGGAGGGGAUUGCGUCUGAUUAGCUAGUUGGAGGGGUAACGGCCCACCAAGGCGAUGAUCAGUAGCCGGUCUGAGAGGAUGAACGGCCACAUUGGGACUGAGACACGGCCCAGACUCCUACGGGAGGCAGCAGUGGGGAAUCUUCCGCAAUGGACGAAAGUCUGACGGAGCAACGCCGCGUGAGUGAUGACGGCCUUCGGGUUGUAAAGCUCUGUUAAUCGGGACGAAAG